Molecule: ribosomal RNA, 802 nt
Filed under: uncultured bacterium
Lineage: Bacteria
Description: bacterial SSU rRNA
Rfam family: Bacterial small subunit ribosomal RNA
Source: RNAcentral
AGAGUUUGAUCAUGGCUCAGAUUGAACGCUGGCGGCAGGCUUAACACAUGCAAGUCGAGCGGGGAAGGGUAGCUUGCUACCUGACCUAGCGGCGGACGGGUGAGUAAUGCUUAGGAAUCUGCCUAUUAGUGGGGGACAACAUUCCGAAAGGAAUGCUAAUACCGCAUACGCCCUACGGGGGAAAGCAGGGGAUCUUCGGACCUUGCGCUAAUAGAUGAGCCUAAGUCAGAUUAGCUAGUUGGUGGGGUAAAGGCCUACCAAGGCGACGAUCUGUAGCGGGUCUGAGAGGAUGAUCCGCCACACUGGGACUGAGACACGGCCCAGACUCCUACGGGAGGCAGCAGUGGGGAAUAUUGGACAAUGGGCGAAAGCCUGAUCCAGCCAUGGCCGCGUGUGUGAAGAAGGCCUUUUGGUUGUAAAGCACUUUAAGCGAGGAGGAGGCUACUUGGAUUAAUACUCUAGGAUAGUGGACGUUACUCGCAGAAUAAGCACCGGCUAACUCUGUGCCAGCAGCCGCGGUAAUACAGAGGGUGCGAGCGUUAAUCGGAUUUACUGGGCGUAAAGCGUGCGUAGGCGGCUUUUUAAGUCGGAUGUGAAAUCCCUGAGCUUAACUUAGGAAUUGCAUUCGAUACUGGGAAGCUAGAGUAUGGGAGAGGAUGGUAGAAUUCCAGGUGUAGCGGUGAAAUGCGUAGAGAUCUGGAGGAAUACCGAUGGCGAAGGCAGCCAUCUGGCCUAAUACUGACGCUGAGGUACGAAAGCAUGGGGAGCAAACAGGAUUAGAUACCCUGGUAGUCCAUGCCGU